AGGUCAGGUCUCCUGUUCCCCUGGUACAUUCUCUAUAGCUGCCCAAUUUCCCUGCUUUUUAAAGUUUGAUAGAAAUAUCUGUGGGCUAUAGUUUAUGGCAGCAAGACCUUGCUGAAGACAAGAGAUGGAACAGGAAUGGCAAAUGUUCUGUCUUCUGGGAACUGAUGAUAAAUUACUGGAAUGAAGUAGAAUGUUGCCAUGUACUUCAGCAUUGUAUGCCCAUGAGAAUUACUUGCAUUACGAGAGGAAGAAGGUAAGGUGGAAGCAGAAGCCGUCCCACUGGGGUUACUAGAAUGAGGACGGAAGGAAUCGUCUGAAAGACAAGGAUGAAAAGUUAGCUGAGCAACUGGCAGUAUGUGGGUACUGAUGUUACUGGAGCUGUGAUUUUGAUGGUUGCUUGUAUUGGGUGUUU
Molecule: long non-coding RNA, 412 nt
Organism: Rhineura floridana
Lineage: Eukaryota; Metazoa; Chordata; Lepidosauria; Squamata; Rhineuridae
Exons: 3
Source: RefSeq, a predicted model, not a curated record